Molecule: ribosomal RNA, 359 nt
Filed under: uncultured bacterium
Lineage: Bacteria
Description: bacterial SSU rRNA
Rfam family: Bacterial small subunit ribosomal RNA
Source: RNAcentral
GACGAACGCUGGCGGCGUGCUUAACACAUGCAAGUCGAGCGGUAAGGCCCUUUCGGGGGUACACGAGCGGCGAACGGGUGAGUAACACGUGGGUGACCUGCCCUCAGCUCUGGGAUAAGCCCGGGAAACUGGGUCUAAUACCGGAUAUGACUUCAUGACGCAUGUUGUGGAGUGGAAAGCCUUGUGCGGCUGAGGAUGGGCCCGCGGCCUAUCAGCUUGUUGGUGGGGNGAUGGCCUACCAAGGCGACGACGGGUAGCCGGCCUGAGAGGGCGACCGGCCACACUGGGACUGAGACACGGCCCAGACUCCUACGGGAGGCAGCAGUGGGGAAUCUUGCGCAAUGGGCGAAAGCCUGACG